RNAcentral lists this ribosomal RNA (464 nucleotides) under uncultured bacterium. RNAcentral's name for it is "partial 16S ribosomal RNA". It matches the Rfam family "Bacterial small subunit ribosomal RNA", at positions 339 to 795 of the family's 1533-position model. The record is from RNAcentral.
CUACGGGCGGCUGCAGUCGAGAAUCUUCCACAAUGGGCGAAAGCCUGAUGGAGCGACGCCGCGUGAGGGAUGAAGGCCUUUUGGUUGUAAACCUCUAACAGGGGGGAUGAAUGAUGCCGGAGCUAUCUCCGGUGUGUUUGACAGACCCCCAGAUGAAGCACGGGCUAAGUUCGUGCCAGCAGCCGCGGUAAUACGAACCGUGCGAACGUUGUUCGGAAUCACUGGGCUUAAAGGGCGCGUAGGCGGUCGCGCAAGGCGGCGGGUGAAAUCCCCCAGCUCAACUGGGGAACUGCCCUCGAAACUGCGUGACUCGAGGAAGGUAGGGGAGCGCGGAACUUCCGGUGGAGCGGUGAAAUGCGUAGAUAUCGGAAGGAACGCCGGUGGCGAAAGCGGCGCUCUGGGCCUUUUCUGACGCUGAGGCGCGAAAGCUAGGGUAGCAAACGGGAUUAGAUACCCUGGUAGUC